UACGGAGGGGACUAGCGUUGUUCGGAAUUACUGGGCGUAAAGCGCACGUAGGCGGAUUUGUAAGUCAGGGGUGAAAUCCCGGGGCUCAACCUCGGAACUGCCUUCGAUACUGGAGAGCUUGAGUCCGGGAGAGGUGAGUGGAACUGCGAGUGUAGAGGUGAAAUUCGUAGAUAUUCGCAAGAACACCAGUGGCGAAGGCGGCUCACUGGCCCGGUACUGACGCUGAGGUGCGAAAGCGUGGGGAGCAAACAGG
This 253-nucleotide ribosomal RNA is filed under the name uncultured bacterium. Its description in RNAcentral is "partial 16S ribosomal RNA". It matches the Rfam family "Bacterial small subunit ribosomal RNA", at positions 524 to 776 of the family's 1533-position model. The record is from RNAcentral.